GGAAAGUAAGAAAUAGAAGAGGAAACCCCUACAAACUGGAAACAAAAGACUGAAAUGAGCUGCCUGCCCCCCUCUGCAAAAAGAAAAAAGAGAAUACACGUGAGGAAUGGCUGUUACCAUUACUUAAUGGUAAAUAGUGGUUGUUAUUGCUAUGUAAUGGUGGUAACGACCACUACCGAUGCAACUUAGCAUUUGCCUUUAAAUAACAAGGUAAAGGGUAACGGCUGCUUGAAAAACCUGUAAAUAACAUCCGUUAUUUGCAGCUUGGCGCCCCGCAAAUUUAUUUAAAAAAUUUGCAAAGUUGAUGAAAUGAGUAGAUAUUGGUAGAUACAAGUAAAAAAUAAGUUGCAUAACUAUAUAAUAAGCAUAAAU
Molecule: unclassified non-coding RNA, 372 nt
Filed under: Hevea brasiliensis (rubber tree)
Lineage: Eukaryota; Viridiplantae; Streptophyta; Magnoliopsida; Malpighiales; Euphorbiaceae
Source: RNAcentral